Molecule: ribosomal RNA, 5164 nt
Filed under: Triticum aestivum (bread wheat)
Lineage: Eukaryota; Viridiplantae; Streptophyta; Magnoliopsida; Poales; Poaceae
Description: partial small subunit ribosomal RNA
Source: RNAcentral
GCGGCAGCGGCGGUAGCGCAUCGGGAGAUGGAGGGUUAUAGAACGAGGAGACGGUUGUAGUCACUAGCGGCGGCGGCGGAGGUAACGUCUAGAGGUCCAGUGGUACCCUGGUGCGGCGGGGGUGGACGCGCCUUGGGCUCCCUUACCGCGAUCCUUGGGUUCGACGUCCCAUCCGUCGCUCCUCGCCGCGUUGUUCCGGGACGGCCGACACGACAUGCGGUCCUUUCCCCGCCCGCGUGCCCCUCCCCGGCGCCACGCACGCUCCCAGCGGCUCCGGAGGCACGGGCACCAGCGUCGGCUCCCGGUGCCAUCCGUCCUCGGGGGUGGCGUAGGCGACAGCUCUAGGGGCAGUGCACGACGGUCCACUCCAACAAAAGGCCCCCGCGUGUUGUGGGUCCUCGGGGGUGUUGCGGUGGACGCUACUAGGGCGGCGGUCACAGUCGGUGCCGGUACAGGCUGCGGGAGCCGGAGAAGUAGUAGCCCAGCGUGAAAGAAACGGACACAGUUGGCACAAUGACACGGCCGCUAGAGGAGGCUGUACUUCAAAGACCCGACUAAGUCCGGCGGGCUCCCCGGUGUUCCUGUGCCCUUCAGCUGGGGCACGAGCCAAGGGAGACGGCGAUAUCAGAUAGUAGAACCGGAUUAAGACGGCGGGAGGAGCUAAGGCAAAUGGGCGACAGUGCGGGAUGAGGAUGUGGGUGCCAGUCGGAUCGAGGUGUAGAGGGAGUUCAAACAGUAACACAUUGGGGAGUGUUAAACCACAGAAGGGUCGGCAUCAAGGAGACACGGACCGCGACGUUUGAGGGGCGAGUCGCCAGUGCUCUAGAGUGACCUUUGUUAAUAUGUCCCACUCUACGUCUUGAUGGUGGAUUAAACCCUUGACGUAGUAAUUAAUCCACGCCGACAUCCAAAUCAGACGCAACGGGAGAUUAAAAGAUCCACAAGUCAUGUAUUAAACUUACAUGCUUACCGAAUCGUAGUUGAAGUAGGCGUAACGAGACGAGGUUAACAACGUAAGGGGAUCGAUUUAAUUAAACAGACCAACAGAGGUAACGGUUUUUUUUCACCUGAUUUAAAAGAUCGCAAGUACACAUAAACUAAGAUUACAUCACAAAUUCUUACUUUAGUGAAUUCAAAACGUGAGGUCAUGGAUAUAUCAGUUACAUGGAAGAUCUUCAUACCACGUAGACUUAAAUCACCGUAAACGUAGGUAUACUAUCUAUUACAGAUACCUCACCGAAUGAGUUGGUUCAUAGUACCAAAAACCACUUUUAUAAUUCCAUUCCAACAGGGACGAAAGAAGAACAAACUACAUGACUGAGGACUGAGGACUACGUACUUACAACAAAUAAGACUAUUUAUUACAAACUAAUCAAACACAUACGUUGAGUCUCGAUACUAUCUACUUUAACCUAACAAAGACCUUGAAGUUUACUAAGACUUGUAUUCAUUAUUGUUUUACCUUGAUACAUACGACCUUUGCGUUAUUUCACGUCAAUACGUACACAAAACUGUACGAAUCUCCAGUGUUGCACGGAACCUGCGAAUAGUGUUAGGAGUCGUUCUACUGUUUUCACGUAUCCACGACCACAUAAAGAUUAUGAGUAUAGAGUAUCCACGAUUAUUGUUAGACCACAUAAAAAAAAAACUCCCGUGCUUCUUUAUUAUAACUUCACAACAUCCAACUUUUAUAUUAACUGCUUUUUGUGUGUCCCUUUUUCCAGAACGAUCUUUAACAAAUACUACGGCUUAAGAGAGGGGAACAUUAAUCUUCGAAGAUCGGAAUCUAAACUACUGAGUGGACUAGUGAUAUUAAAUAGUAAAGUUGAUGCUGUGUCCAUUAAAAGCUGUGAGGGAAAAACGGAGACUUGUUCAAAUUAUUACUGAAGCUACAAAUCUUAUACGAGGAAUACAGACAAUAGCAAAGAAUUUUGCUGUGUAUAUAUUCUGGGUUGAUAAACUAACAACAAAACAAAUUAGUCUAGUAACCCCUUCUAAGCUAUGGUACGAAGAAUAAAGCCAACUGGUAAAAGAUUUCAACAACUCGCUGUAACACAAGUAUAUAUUACAUGGUUUAAUAAUCAUGAUCUGCAGAUAUGUAAGAUGGAAGUUAUAAAAAGCCUUGUUUCUAAGUAGAAGAAACCACGGCAAAGUACUGUAUUUUCUUAAGUAGUUUGUGUAAAAAAGAGCUCAAAAACAGCUCAUAACAUAUUGACUACAACGGGUCGGAUAAGAAGAUACAAUUAUCGAUAGGUCAAUAUAGAUAAGAAAACAAACGUGAAGCACUUUCUACACACCGGAUGUUAUCACACUCACAAUGGAGAGGAAGUUCGAUUGAAGAAAAAAAGUCUUUCGGAAGAACUUCUAUACAUCGGUAGUUAUAAAAUGAUGUGGAAGACAUCUCUUUCUUUCUAUCCCUAACCUGACCAACAACAACAAUGAAAACAGACUCUCUAUACCCUGUGUGUACCUCUCUACCUUGUCGGCCCCCCGAUCCUACGGAGAACUAGACGUCCUCGAUUUAAACGACGGCUUCAAUGAGACCAUAGAUUGACUGUACAUUUCCUCAGUACUUGUCCACUUGGGUAUGACUUUUACGGUGUACACAUGUUAUAUUUGAAGACCUAUUCGUACCUAUGUCUUUACUCGUAAAUAAGGGUUAACAAACUCUUUCUGACACCUCUAACUAUAGUUCAUGCCUCAUACUUCCAAAGUACCGUACUGAUUUCAGUUAAUGUUGUCCAUUAUACAAGGUUUUUUUAUGUUGUCCAUUAAACGAAUACCAGAACGAUUAGCUCUUUUAAAAGUAAAAGAAACAGCUCCUUGAACAAAAAUCGACAAAACAUCGUCAUUAACUAAGAAGAAGUAACAAGACGUAAUAUUAUUUAUUACAACCCCAAUAUUCAAAAAAACAAAGAAAAGAAUUCUUUUCUUGGUCAAGGUGACUGAAACUAUCCAAGUCAAUAAAUUAAACAGAACGAACGAUGAACUUUUAGACAGGUGGUGAUUAUCACCAAAGGGAGAGGUCUAAUAUUGGGUCCUUGUGUCCUUUGGGGACCUGAAAGGUUUUGAUCCGUUUAGUGGGGGACAGUGACUAAUACCACCAAAAACGCUCGUCAAAACGGAUGCACUGUUCAAAGGCCAAUUCCUUUAACCUAAACUAACGGUGCGACCUGGGAGAACUAGGAUCGCAGCUUGUCUCGGACCCCAUCCCCCGCAGUGCCGCCGACCAACUGUUCGACCAAUCAAGAGCAUGCAGGGCCAGCGACGACAAAAAAUCCAGACACCAUUUCGCAACACUUCUAACCCCGACCCCAAACCCCGCCACCUGUAUCCCGAAACCCCACCGUAACUAGAAACUAACAACAUCGGGAAGCUAAACCCAUCAAGGACAACUAAACCUCGCCGUCUAUCUCCCCAAACCCCGUUUACUUUUAGGAAUUAGUUAGAAUGUACUAGACGCCCUCCAAUAAAAAUCUGGUACGUCAUCUCCUUGACGUACAGUUAAGUAAUUCUAUCUGUUUGUUCAGACUUUUUUGCGACGGUUCUUACCGGUUCGUGGGUUACGUACUAUCCUGACUUCUUUGACUUUGACAUGUUACAACAUGGUACCCCGAAUAUACAGUCAAUUUAAUGAGAACCAUCACUUUCCUUUGUCCCUUGUAUUCGAUAGUUCGUGCAACAUACAACAUACUCUCUAUAUGUCCCUUAUCCCUUGUUUCUCUACAAACUCCGUGAGACAAAAAAACCAUCGAACUAGCCGCGAAACACCCUCCGUCUCGUCCAUUCAGGGCUCGAGAGUUACCGAGUUCCACUAACCGUGAAUGCAUAGUAUCAGCUAGAAAAACCUUCUAACCCCUACCCCACCUCUCCGCAUCCCUCCAAACCCGACCCAAUAUCACUCAACGUCCAAAGUCCAAUAAACGUGAUGAUCGACCCAGUUUUAGAGGUACCGAACGUAAAUACUAGUCGUUGUACAUGAAACAUAAACUAGUUAUUUGUAUCUAUAAGUACCCCAGCACCUCAUCCUUACAUCGAUCCUACUUUUAUGUUGAGUGUGCAUGGUCACAUCAUCAUGUAGUUUGAAAGAAAAUUAUCGUAUGCACACACUAGUGAGUUUAUAUUAUUGUGACAAAGUACUCAAGUCUUUAAACUUUUUUAAGUCUUCGUUUAGUAUUAUACACGCCGGUCUUUAUACACCAAAAAUACGAACAAACAUCUAACGACAGCUCAAGUAGUUAAAUCCCCAAUCUGAUAACUUUACUAGAUAUAGGUCUUCCGUAUAUACACACACACACUACAACACCCAGACUAACGUGUACCUAAUUUAGAAUGUAUACACGUUUGACGUUUCCUGAACAUAUACACAAAUAAAACGUCUAUACUGUGGUGAGUUAAUGGAUAGACAAGCCAAAGUAAAGGCUCCACUUAACGUAGUACUACUUUCACUUACCUUCAUAAACUUACCUUCCAGUCCUUACAGGUGUUAACUCACACUGUUUUACACAGAUGUUAUCAACUUCUUUGUGGAACGUCUAGUACAAAGGAUAAGACUACUUCAUGAUUUACACUGUUGAAACAUGACCUUCAAAGGAAAUUUCCCGUGUCCACGAGAACAACAAUACUUACUGCUUCUUAGAUUUGUUCUCGUCGAUGUUCCUCUUUUCCGGUUAGUUCGUUCUUGUCUCGUUCAAGGACAAGGUACUUCUGCUGUUUCAAGUCGAGGACCAGGUAGUUGUUUCGUUCGUGGAUGUUGUAGAUUCGGUGGUUUAUCCUUCUUCUUCCGGAGUUGAAGAGUUUUAUUAGGACUGUGACGUGGAAAGAUACUCUCUCGUUUCUUGUCUUCCUUUCGUGUAUGUGUUAGUAGAAUUGGAGGAAGGUACCGUAGAAGAAUAGUUAAUCGUAGUCCCAGCUAUAGAGUCGGUUACGGUUUGGUCAGUCCUAAGAGUACCAACAAUAUACCGUUAUUUACUUGAACAUCAAUGUAUAUCACUUUGUCUUGACUUGAACAUCAAGUACCAACUAACAAAACGUACGAGACCAAGUACGAAAUAAUAAUACAUUUUGAUGAUGACCAUCGUGAACAAGGGAUAAUACACAGUGUACGUGACAAGCUACUACACCCACACUAUACCCGUACUGACCAAGAAUACACUAAAGGGAC